UGGUUGCAUUAACAAGGUACUUUGGGAGAAAUUGGAGAGAGAAUUUUUAUCUUCAAAGACGUUGGACGGCACUUAGGAGACAGACUGGACAGCUCUGCUUUUACUCCUCUAACCCUAGUCACAAUUAUGUCAAAUGUUUCUCGAUGGGACCAUGUUUCUUUUCCUCUGCUCUCAGGCUUACCCUCAACUUGUCCAGAAGGGAUCUGAAGCUGCACUUCUGAGACUCAAACAAGCACGUGAUCUGUCUGCAAAGCAAGUACCUGGCCUUCCUCAGAACCAUCACCAUUUUCUAAUGCUGGCUUCUCCAACUCAAAGCCCAUGCAGAGCUCUCAUGAUUAUUCUGUUUACCUGCUGGGAUUCUCGCCUCCCACUAGAUUCCAGUCCCUCCUCGGUGGUGGUGCCUUCUCUUUCAUCAGCUUCUGCCUGAAUCAACUACACCACAGAUUCAUCGAGCUCCUUCUUUCCAGUCUCACGUGUCUUCACUCCGUGUUUCUAACAGGCUCCUCCCUUUUCGCAUUGAGGAAGGACGGAUCCUGUGAGAAGGCCCAAUGGCCGAAGCUGGUAUUGUUUGACCAUACAUCGAGGGCCAGCCAGUCUCACGCUGGACCAUAGGCGGAUGGAUAUUUCCAUGAGAGCCAGAUUUUCUGCCGUUCACAAGUGAGCCUAAUAUCCUCUGAAGCAGCACAGUGCUUUCCCUCUCCUCAUCCCGAGCCUUCCAGUCUACAGUCAGUGUGUAAACAUUUCCUGAACUAAAGACAGGAACAGAAUCAACUAUCAAGAUGCACAGAAACCAACUUUGGGAACCUAUGCUGGAGUUAGAGGCAUCAGUAAGAGAUAUCAAUUCUACCAGACCAUCAACAUCAAGGGAAUGAAUACCUCAAACUAACCACUUAGACUUAAGCUACACUGUAGAUGGCGAGAUAAUGUCAAGAUUCUGGAAAUAUCCAUGCUGAUCAAGGCGGGGGUGGGUGAUUAAAAUAUAAAAUGCUUACAUAAUAGAGAUUCUAUGCCUCUUUAAUCUAAUAAUGUAAAGCUGUCUGUGGGAGAGAAAAAUGCCAUGGGCUUUAACAGGCUACAGCCCCAAAGACUACAUAGAAAUAAAGCAGAUUACAAAGGAAGGAAGUUGACA
RNAcentral lists this long non-coding RNA (1129 nucleotides) under Mus spicilegus (steppe mouse). RNAcentral's name for it is "lncRNA (ENSMSIG00000016971.1)". Lineage: Eukaryota; Metazoa; Chordata; Mammalia; Rodentia; Muridae. The record is from RNAcentral.